GACGAACGCUGGCGGCGUGCUUAACACAUGCAAGUCGAACGCUGAAGCUCAGCUUGCUGGGUGGAUGAGUGGCGAACGGGUGAGUAACACGUGAGUAACCUGCCCUCUUCUUUGGGAUAACGCCCGGAAACGGGUGCUAAUACUGGAUAUUCACUGAUUCUCGCAUGGGGGUUGGUGGAAAGGUUUUUUCUGGUGGGGGAUGGGCUCGCGGCCUAUCAGCUUGUUGGUGGGGUGAUGGCCUACCAAGGCUUUGACGGGUAGCCGGCCUGAGAGGGUGACCGGUCACAUUGGGACUGAGAUACGGCCCAGACUCCUACGGGAGGCAGCAGUGGGGAAUAUUGCACAAUGGGCAAAAGCCUGAUGCAGCGACGCCGCGUGAGGGAUGGAGGCCUUCGGGUUGUAAACCUCUUUCGCUCAUGGUCAAGCCGCAGCUUUGGGUUGUGGUGAGGGUAGUGGGUAAAGAAGCGUCGGCUAACUACGUG
Molecule: ribosomal RNA, 482 nt
Filed under: uncultured bacterium
Lineage: Bacteria
Description: partial 16S ribosomal RNA
Rfam family: Bacterial small subunit ribosomal RNA
Source: RNAcentral